Betta splendens (Siamese fighting fish) is the source of this 2440-nucleotide long non-coding RNA. RefSeq lists it as uncharacterized. The transcript has 3 exons. NCBI's taxonomy places the organism in Eukaryota, Metazoa, Chordata, Actinopteri, Anabantiformes, Osphronemidae. The record is from RefSeq and is a predicted model, not a curated record.
GUAUUCUCUGUUCAGUGUACACGUUGGUGCGUGGUCAGAAAUCGGCCACACUUCGCCAGUUAGACAUGACUGUUGUAAAUUUGUCCAGGAUUUUCCAGGUAUGAUUUAUAAACUGUAGCUAGCUGUAGGGUACUACAGUUGUUGUUACAUUUAGGUGCAAGCUAAUCUGCCGCUUGCCUAUCAUAUGCUAGCUAACAAUAUGUAAAGCUACAAAUUGCUAAAAAAAUGCAGGUAAACUAAAUUUUUAUGAUUCACCUUUUAAAUUGAUUGAUUGAUUGAUUGAUUGAUUGAUUGAUUGAUUGAUUGAUUGAUUGAUUGAUUGAUUGAUUGAUUGAUUGUCAUUUAUGUUCCCUGCAAGUAAAGUAUAUAUCACUAUUGCUUUCAUUUUUAGAGAGAGAGAUACAGGGAUUGUUAUUUUUCCAUCAGCUGAUUACUUUUCAGAUGUGGACCUGAAACCUGGGAGUAACUACCUUGUCGAUGGCAGCACCCAGUCAUCCAUUAGCACGCCGGGAAGACAACAGACAUUAAGGUUCUUCUCAACUCCACCAUUCCGUCCACCUCAGCCUCUGCCUAAGACAUUUACAAGAGAAGACCAAGCCAAUGUAAGUGACAUAGCAAAGUUGGUGAGGACAGCUCUGCAGAUGGAGUCAGAAGUUGCCCUGACAGUUGAAGCAGGAAGGGUCACACCUGAAACGUGACUUGGACUUUUGGAAGAAAGAAGCAAGGAAGAUUGUGGCCUUCAGUAACGAUUUAUGAAGAGUGGACCAAGAAGAAGAAAAUGGUGAAUUGAGCAUAAAGUGUAUAAUGUUGGAGUGUAUAAAGCUUGUUACAGUAGUUCCAGGAAUAGGCCUUUUUAUGGCCUGUCCAGUUAUUCAGUAAAUAACUAAAAUUGUUUUAAGUUCGUCAGACGAGCACUUGGAACGAGUCCAUUCCACGAUAGAAAAGGUUGUGUUGGCAGCUGAAGCACUGCCAAGCAUUGCCACCAGUCUGAGGGAGUUAGUUCAUCUCAGCACAGGACUUACCAGACAUCAGUGGAAACAAUUAAGUCAUCCUUCAAAUGCCUCAUGUAACUCUAAGUAAUUAACAGUAGAUUAUUAGUGAGGUUUUUUUUUGUUCAUCAAAUCCUAUUUAGUGUUUAAAACAAUAUAUACAUAAUUGGAAUAUAGUGCAAACCUUAACCCUCAGAACUUUAUUUUAAAAAUAUAGGACUGUUUUAUAAAAAGUAGUUUAGAAGUAUAUUUUAUGAUCAAAAUAUACUGUAAAUCCAAACACAAUAUAAAUUCAUACAAUACCAUAUGGCAGACUGCCUGUAAAUAAAUAAAUUGAGAGAAGGCAACUGUAAAUCUCCUCACAUACUUACAAUUUGAUAUAUAUUUGAUAUCAAUGGUGGAUGCAAUGUUAUCUGCAUGCUGCCAAUCCUUAAUUGCAUGUCAGCAAUGCAUCAACAUUCUUCUUGAAGGAGGAGACAGUUGUGCUAGGUGCAGGGGGCAGUUGUGUUCUGACAAUCUAAUCCAGGUAGCAGGAUUUUCAGACAUCCUGAACCUGGCAAACAGUUUGUAGCUGUUUUAGCACAUUGUUUUUGUAACACACUGUUAAGACAUUGUUUUGUACUGUUAAUAGAUUUUAACAUAGAACAUUUUUACAUAUUCUAUAAAGUUAAGUCACGAAAAAGUAGAAGAUUUUGUGAUAUGGCAGAUGCUUUUACCAAAGUGACUGGGAAAACUAUUAAACAUUGUUUUAAAGAAUGUUUGUUUAAUUUGUCUUGAGAAGAAAAUGAAUUUAAACUUGGAAAAUCCAGGACCCUACACCGCGCUCAUCCGGAGGAUCCUUCCUAGGUCGCCUGGAGGCGACGUAGAGGGGGGGGCUCUGUGACACCUGGUGUCACCACCCAUUGCUGGGAGGUGCUAAUGUGUAGCAGGUGUUCCUUAUGUGGGUAAUCAGGGGUCUGGCAUUUAAUCCAUGACGGAGGCGCACUCCAGUCGCUGGUGUGUUACUCCAUGAGCGGAAGCCUUAUCGCUGCAUUUGUGUCUAUAAGUAUGUUGUCCAAGUUGACCCAGGUCUGAUGUACGUUUUGUAAGUUGCCUUUUUGAACCUGCUUCCAUGCUUCAUGUGCCUUUUGUUUUUUUGUUCAUAGACUACUAGUUUAAGAGGAACCGGUACUAGUGUAGUUCCAGCUGCUUGGUUCUUUCCGUGCCUUGGCACGCUCUUUUUGUUAGUUACAAUUUGUUAAGUACCUUGCCAUUGCAAGCCGUUUUUUGUUACGCUCCCUUGUUUUAUUAAAUACUGUGGAUAUACUCAUUGGUCUGCCUGCUUUUCUGCAAUUGGGUACCAGUUCUGCACAGCGUUGUAACAGAACACACCAGCCACUAUGGACCCAGCAGAGCAGGGUAAUUUAGUUUCGGCUGUUCGUACACAAGGAGCUACCCUUGGGCGAGCCAUG